UGGGGAAUAUUGCACAAUGGGCGCAAGCCUGAUGCAGCCAUGCCGCGUGUGUGAAGAAGGCCUUCGGGUUGUAAAGCACUUUCAGCGGGGAGGAAGGCGUUAAGGUUAAUAACCUUGGCGAUUGACGUUACCCGCAGAAGAAGCACCGGCUAACUCCGUGCCAGCAGCCGCGGUAAUACGGAGGGUGCAAGCGUUAAUCGGAAUUACUGGGCGUAAAGCGCACGCAGGCGGUCUGUCAAGUCGGAUGUGAAAUCCCCGGGCUCAACCUGGGAACUGCAUUCGAAACUGGCAGGCUAGAGUCUUGUAGAGGGGGGUAGAAUUCCAGGUGUAGCGGUGACAUGCGUAGAGAUCUGGAGGAAUACCGGUGGCGAAGGCGGCCCCCUGGACAAAGACUGACGCUCAGGUGCGAAAGCGUGGGGAGCAAACAGG
Molecule: ribosomal RNA, 429 nt
Filed under: Chloroflexota bacterium
Lineage: Bacteria; Bacillati; Chloroflexota
Description: Chloroflexi bacterium partial 16S ribosomal RNA
Rfam family: Bacterial small subunit ribosomal RNA
Source: RNAcentral